AAUAAACCAAUUUUUUAUUUUUUACCUAUAAUUUUUGACUCUUCGUUUUAUUCAAAUUUUUUUUGUGAUUGAUAUUUUUGUUUUUAUUAGAUGAUAAAUCAUGAAUAGUAUUUUACGUGUGACUAAUUUUCUUCUAAUUUCCUAAAAAAAUUUCAAAUAAGACGGAUGGUCAAACGUUGGACACGGAAACCGGAGAAUUGACUUUUU
Molecule: non-coding RNA, 207 nt
Organism: Oryza brachyantha (malo sina)
Lineage: Eukaryota; Viridiplantae; Streptophyta; Magnoliopsida; Poales; Poaceae
Source: Rfam